CGGGAACAUCGGGUAGCCGCGCGGCGUCUUUGAAAAGACGAGUGAGGAAGGUCCGAACUCUACGGGAUAAUAAGGCCAGAGAAAUCUGGAAGCCGAAAGGCUAUGGAUAGCGCAACAGAAAAUAUACCGCCUUUUACGGGUUUAGGCCCGCCAAAAGGUAAGGGUGAAAUGGCGAGGUAAAAGCUCACCGCGUUUUUUGAGAAAAAAACGGCACGGCAAGCCCCCUUAAGAGAAAUUUCAAGCAGUUCUGUAAAAUCCCUGCCCUUUUUAAUAAGGAACAGAACGGGUAGAAAGCAAAGAGAUUUACGGUAUAACGUAAAUACAAGAUAAAUGGCUGCCUUCUGCUUCGGCAGAAACAAAAUUCGGCCUAUAGAUGUUCCUUAUUU
RNAcentral lists this RNase P RNA (386 nucleotides) under Spirochaetia bacterium. Its description in RNAcentral is "RNase P RNA component class A". It matches the Rfam family "Bacterial RNase P class A". From Rfam's summary of the family: Ribonuclease P (RNase P) is a ubiquitous endoribonuclease, found in archaea, bacteria and eukarya as well as chloroplasts and mitochondria. Lineage: Bacteria; Pseudomonadati; Spirochaetota; Spirochaetia. The record is from RNAcentral.